ACGUGCUCUCGUUCCUGCCCUCUGCCAUUCCCCCUACACCAAAUGCAAAGUGCUCUCCUUGGGCUGAACCACGGCUCUGACCGAAGCCACUUUUCUGCACGGCUGUGAAAAGGGACUGAAUGAAUGUAGUCAGCCUCCAAAACAGGAGCAUUUGCCCUCCUCGGUAUGUAGCUGAAGGAUUUUGACACCAGCUGAUGUGGCAGGGUUUGGAAGGAUAGCGGAAAGCGUUUCCCGCACAGCUGUGAGACUUGCUCCAUUCCUUAGGAAACUGUUUUGUGCUGCGCAGGGAGGAUGAAAUCCCCAAAUCCCCAUCCAAAUCAAAUUAGAGCGUCACUGGAGUUGGAGGGGCCUAGUGAUGAGAUGGGGAAUAUUUUCUUAAUCUUUCUCUGUCUCACGCAGAAUCUUGGAGGAAGAGUGACGGUGAUUACCAGUGAGAAGGUUCCUUCUCUUGAACUAGUUAGGCAGUGCCUGCCCCUGCUCUGGAACACGCCGUUAGGCUUUUUUGAUGCUUGCUUCAGGCCACAUCU
This is a long non-coding RNA of Oxyura jamaicensis (ruddy duck), 527 nucleotides long. RefSeq lists it as uncharacterized. The transcript has 2 exons. The record is from RefSeq and is a predicted model, not a curated record. NCBI's taxonomy places the organism in Eukaryota, Metazoa, Chordata, Aves, Anseriformes, Anatidae.